UACAGAGGUCUCAAGCGUUGUUCGGAUUCAUUGGGCGUAAAGGGUGCGUAGGCGGCGCGGUAAGUCGGGUGUGAAAUCUUGGAGCUUAACUCCGAAACUGCAUUCGAUACUGCCGUGCUUGAGGACUGGAGAGGAGACUGGAAUUCAUGGUGUAGCAGUGAAAUGCGUAGAUAUCGUAAGGAAGACCAGUGGCGAAGGCGGGUCUCUGGACAGUUCCUGACGCUGAGGCACGAAGGUCAGGGGAGCAAACGGG
RNAcentral lists this ribosomal RNA (253 nucleotides) under uncultured bacterium. Its description in RNAcentral is "partial 16S ribosomal RNA". It matches the Rfam family "Bacterial small subunit ribosomal RNA", at positions 524 to 776 of the family's 1533-position model. The record is from RNAcentral.